UAUUGCAUCAAAGUGAACAGGUGUUACAUUGAAUCAAUAUAUUAGUGCCCAAAUGUAUUUAUACCUAUACACAAGGAUAUUAAUAGCAUAAAGUUUCUUAAUUUAUUCAUUUAUUUGCAGAUUCCAUUUUUAUAUUGUAUUGUUUACAUUAAAACAGAUGUCUUUUUUUACAAAAGGAGCUGCCUAAAAAAAAUACAAAAUUUUAAAUAUUGAUCCAUUAUACAAUUAAAGACCCUGUACAAAUUUAUAAUCUGCUUUUGAAAUACUUGAUUGAUAAAAGUUGAAUAAAAAAAAAAUUCUUCUUAAUGAAAAAGCUUUCAACAAAGAUUUAUCAAUUGAUAUUCAAGUUUGGUCGAUAUGAAAUUAUCAGUAAUUACUUACUCAAGACAUAUGACCUAUUUCUCAAGCAUGAUACUUUCUAAAAAUCAAAUAAUUAUAAAUU
Molecule: long non-coding RNA, 442 nt
Filed under: Mytilus galloprovincialis (Mediterranean mussel)
Lineage: Eukaryota; Metazoa; Mollusca; Bivalvia; Mytilida; Mytilidae
Source: RNAcentral